RNAcentral lists this ribosomal RNA (253 nucleotides) under uncultured bacterium. Its description in RNAcentral is "partial 16S ribosomal RNA". It matches the Rfam family "Bacterial small subunit ribosomal RNA", at positions 524 to 776 of the family's 1533-position model. The record is from RNAcentral.
UACGUAGGGCGCAAGCGUUAUCCGGAAUUAUUGGGCGUAAAGAGCUCGUAGGCGGUUUGUCGCGUCUGCCGUGAAAGUCCGGGGCUCAACUCCGGAUCUGCGGUGGGUACGGGCAGACUAGAGUGAUGUAGGGGAGACUGGAAUUCCUGGUGUAGCGGUGAAAUGCGCAGAUAUCAGGAGGAACACCGAUGGCGAAGGCAGGUCUCUGGGCAUUAACUGACGCUGAGGAGCGAAAGCAUGGGGAGCAAAAGGG